This 490-nucleotide ribosomal RNA is filed under the name uncultured bacterium. RNAcentral's name for it is "partial 16S ribosomal RNA". It matches the Rfam family "Bacterial small subunit ribosomal RNA", at positions 28 to 523 of the family's 1533-position model. The record is from RNAcentral.
GACGAACGCUGGCGGUAUGCUUAACACAUGCAAGUCGAACGAGACGAGAUGGAAGUGCUUGCACGGAAAUCUUAGAAAGUGGCGAACGGGUGAGUAACGCGUGGGUAACCUGCCCUAUGGAAAGGAAUAGCCUCGGGAAACUGGGAGUAAUGCCUUAUAAGAUACAUUUGUCGCAUGGCAGAAGUAUUAAACGCUCCGGUGCCAUAGGAUGGACCCGCGUCCCAUUAGCUAGUUGGUGAGAUAACAGCCCACCAAGGCGACGAUGGGUAACCGGUCUGAGAGGGCGAACGGUCACACUGGAACUGAGACACGGUCCAGACUCCUACGGGAGGCAGCAGUGGGGAAUAUUGCGCAAUGGGGGCAACCCUGACGCAGCAAUACCGCGUGAGUGAAGAAGGUUUUCGGAUCGUAAAGCCCUGUUAUUGGGGAAGAAAAAAGACGGUACCCAAGAAGAAAGUCCCGGCUAACUACGUGCCAGCCGCCGCUGUAA